GGGAGGGGCUCGCGGCCUAUCAGCUUGUUGGUGGGGUAACGGCCUACCAAGGCAUCGACGGGUAGCUGGUCUGAGAGGAUGAUCAGCCACACUGGGACUGAGACACGGCCCAGACUCCUACGGGAGGCAGCAGUGGGGAAUCUUGCGCAAUGGGCGAAAGCCUGACGCAGCAACGCCGCGUGAGGGAUGAAGGCUUUCGGGUUGUAAACCUCUUUCAGCAGGAACGAAAAUGACGGUACCUGCAGAAGAAGCUCCGGCCAACUACGUGCCAGCAGCCGCGGUAAUACGUAGGGAGCAAGCGUUGUCCGGAUUUAUUGGGCGUAAAGAGCUCGUAGGCGGUUAAGAAAGUCAGGUGUGAAACCUCCAGGCUCAACCUGGAGCCGCCACUUGAUACUUCUUUGACUUGAGUUCGGUAGGGGACCACGGAAUUCCUGGUGUAGCGGUGGAAUGCGCAGAUAUCAGGAGGAACACCGAUGGCGAAGGCAGUGGUCUGGGCCGAUACUGACGCUGAGGAGCGAAAGCGUGGGGAGCGAACAGGAUUAGAUACCCUGGUAGUCCACGCCGUAAACGUUGGGCACUAGGUGUGGGAGGUAAUCAACGCCUUCCGUGCCGUAGCUAAACGCAUUAAGUGCCCCCGCCUGGGGGAGUACGGUCGC
Molecule: ribosomal RNA, 656 nt
Filed under: uncultured Acidimicrobium sp.
Lineage: Bacteria; Bacillati; Actinomycetota; Acidimicrobiia; Acidimicrobiales; Acidimicrobiaceae
Description: bacterial SSU rRNA
Rfam family: Bacterial small subunit ribosomal RNA
Source: RNAcentral